Molecule: ribosomal RNA, 459 nt
Filed under: uncultured bacterium
Lineage: Bacteria
Description: bacterial SSU rRNA
Rfam family: Bacterial small subunit ribosomal RNA
Source: RNAcentral
CGCUGGCGGCGUGCCUAACACAUGCAAGUCGAACGGACGAGAUUUCUUCGGAGAUCGAGUUAGUGGCGAACGGGUGAGUAACGCGUGAGCAACCUGCCUUUCAGUAGGGGGACAACAGUUGGAAACGACUGCUAAUACCGCAUAACGUAUCGAGGGGGCAUCCCCAUGAUACCAAAGAUUUAUCGCUGAAAGAUGGGCUCGCGUCUGAUUAGAUAAUUGGUGAGGUAAUGGCUCACCAAGUCGACGAUCAGUAGCCGGACUGAGAGGUUGAACGGCCACAUUGGGACUGAGAUACGGCCCAGACUCCUACGGGAGGCAGCAGUGGGGAAUAUUGGGCAAUGGGGGAAACCCUGACCCAGCAACGCCGCGUGAAGGAAGAAGGCUUUCGGGUUGUAAACUUCUUUUACCAGGGACGAAGACGUGACGGUACCUGGAGAAAAAGCCACGGCUAACUACGUG